This 437-nucleotide ribosomal RNA is filed under the name uncultured bacterium. RNAcentral describes it as "bacterial SSU rRNA". It matches the Rfam family "Bacterial small subunit ribosomal RNA", at positions 54 to 474 of the family's 1533-position model. The record is from RNAcentral.
CAUGCAAGUCAGGGAGAAAGAGGUAGUAAUAUCUUAAGUAAACCGGCGGACGGGUGAGUAACACGUAGGUAACCUGCCCUCAGGUGGGGAAUAACCCCGCGAAAGCGGGGCUAAUACCGCAUAAUGCAAUGAAGUCGCAUGGCUUUGUUGUUAAAGUUUCGCGCAAGCGGAACGCCAGAGGAUGGACCUGCGGCCGAUUAGCUAGUUGGCGGGGUAAUGGCCCACCAAGGCAACGAUCGGUAGCCGACCUGAGAGGGUGAUCGGCCACACUGGGACUGAGAUACGGCCCAGACUCCUACGGGAGGCAGCAGUGAGGAAUAUUGGUCAAUGGCCGAAAGGCUGAACCAGCAACGCCGCGUGAGGGAUGAAGAUUUAAGGAUCGUAAACCUCUGUUGGGAGGGACGAAUAGUUCCAUAGUAAACCUAUGGGAUUUGACG